UUAUGAUUGAUUAUUAUAUUUUUUUUCAAUGCCAGUGCUGCUCAGCCCUCAGCACAACUUCAGUUUUCAUGAAAUAAACAGUGACUAUAUAAAAUUUCAUUUUUCUGAAACUGAAAUCUGAGAUCAGGUCAAAGUCUCUUCUUUCCCAUGGACUUGAUUGAGCCUGUGUUCCAUUAGGAGAGUUAAGUCCUGCAAGUGAAGGGAACCGUGCUUGGGUCCAGCCUACAAGUCACGGUAGCAUCACCUCACAGUUGGCGUGUGUUUGUCUGUCUCAACCAACAGAAAUUAAAAACAUUAGGAGAGUGGCAGGAGACUGCCAUAAAGGUCAGGUGGUUCAAGAGCGUAUCCAGGCAUGGUAUA
RNAcentral lists this long non-coding RNA (360 nucleotides) under Rattus norvegicus (Norway rat). Its description in RNAcentral is "long non-coding RNA NONRATT008450". Lineage: Eukaryota; Metazoa; Chordata; Mammalia; Rodentia; Muridae. The record is from RNAcentral.